Stygiomarasmius scandens is the source of this 75-nucleotide non-coding RNA. The record is from the annotation of a GenBank genome assembly. NCBI's taxonomy places the organism in Eukaryota, Fungi, Basidiomycota, Agaricomycetes, Agaricales, Campanellaceae.
GGACCAAUAGCUCAGUUGGUUAGAGCAGAGUCACUGGCAUUGCCGAGGUCCUGGGUUCAAUCCCCAGCUGGUCCA